This 651-nucleotide long non-coding RNA is filed under the name Equus asinus (donkey). RNAcentral's name for it is "lncRNA (ENSEASG00005033545.1)". The record is from RNAcentral. Lineage: Eukaryota; Metazoa; Chordata; Mammalia; Perissodactyla; Equidae.
GUUGAUUCCGUUUCUCCCACUGUGAGUCUCUGAUGUCAUUGCUCAGUUUUUCUUUGUAUUUAACUUUAGAUUGGCUUCUUAGGGAGCACCCCUGGUUUAGCAUCUCAUAGUGGUUAGUCACUGGUUGUUCAGAGAUAAUUCUUAAACACGUUGAACCAGUCAAGUUUUUCACCUUUGCUGUCAGAUCUGUUUGUUACUUGGGGAAUUAUUUCAAAGUUCAAGGAGUUUACAAGUCCACUCUGUAUUCAUCUAGGAACUAGUAGCUUGCAAGGGUCCUUUCCAGUAUCUCUGGAGCAGAAAGAGCCUUGCACAUUGGCACAGCCUUCUAGAUGACCAGAGCAGUAAUACUUGCCCUGGCUCAGGGUCAUACUUUCACAUCACAGAAACUGAAGGAUGUGUUGGAGCAUCUCCUUGAAAAAAAUGCUACAGACUUUUGCUGUUCUUACUGACAUUCAACAGCUUCAUUAUUGUCUGUUAAAAGAAGACUUACUAAGCUCCUCACACAGCCAUUCUGGAUGUGCUUAUCCCCAGGUAUAUAUUUGUUAUGAAUAUUUUAUAAUACCAUUUGACACACCCAAGAAACUUCAACAUGUUAACAGUGUAUAUGUGUUAUUUUUGUUAUUUUAAAAAUACAUAUUUAAUAUUUUUGCU